AGCUCCAAUAGCGUAUAUUAAAGUUGUUGCGGUAAAAAAGCUCGUAGUUGGAUUUCUGUCGAAAACGAGCGGUCCACACAACGUGUGCGCAUCUGCUUCGGUUUUGACAUCCUUCCGAAAGACGACUCUGCGCUUGAUUGCGUGGAUCGGAUUCCGGGACUUUUACUUUGAGGAAAUUAGAGUGUUCACGGCAGGCUAUCGCCAGAAUACAUUAGCAUGGAAUAAUACUAUAGGAUCUUGAUCCUAUUUUGUUGGUUUCUAGGAGCAAGAUAAUGAUUAAUAGGGACAAUUGGGGGCAUUCGUAUCAACACGUCAGAGGUGGAAUUCUUGGAUUGUGUUGCGACGAACUACUGCGAAAGCAUUUGCCAAGGAUGUUUUCA
RNAcentral lists this ribosomal RNA (380 nucleotides) under uncultured eukaryote. Its description in RNAcentral is "SSU rRNA". It matches the Rfam family "Eukaryotic small subunit ribosomal RNA", at positions 587 to 972 of the family's 1831-position model. The record is from RNAcentral.